RNAcentral lists this ribosomal RNA (264 nucleotides) under uncultured bacterium. RNAcentral's name for it is "partial 16S ribosomal RNA". It matches the Rfam family "Bacterial small subunit ribosomal RNA", at positions 335 to 616 of the family's 1533-position model. The record is from RNAcentral.
UUGCCUACGGGGCGCAGCAGUGGGGAAUAUUGCACAAUGGGCGAAAGCCUGAUGCAGCAACGCCGCGUGAAGGAAGAAGGUCUUCGGAUCGUAAACUUCUGUCCUUGGGGAAGAUAAUGACGGUACCCUUGGAGGAAGCCCCGGCUAACUACGUGCCAGCAGCCGCGGUAAUACGUAGGGGGCAAGCGUUAUCCGGAUUUAUUGGGCGUAAAGCGAGUGCAGGCGGUUCAAUAAGUCUGAUGUGAAAGCCUUCGGCUCAACCGG